This 497-nucleotide ribosomal RNA is filed under the name uncultured bacterium. RNAcentral describes it as "partial 16S ribosomal RNA". It matches the Rfam family "Bacterial small subunit ribosomal RNA", at positions 28 to 507 of the family's 1533-position model. The record is from RNAcentral.
GAUGAACGCUGGCGGCGUGCCUAAUACAUGCCAGUCGAGCGAACAGACGAGGAGCUUGCUCCUCUGACGUUAGCGGCGGACGGGUGAGUAACACGUGGAUAACCAACCUAUAAGACUGAGAUAACUUCGGGAAACCGGAGCUAAUACCGGAUAAUAUAUUGAACCGCAUGGUUCAAUAGUGAAAGACGGUUUUGCUGUCACUUAUAGAUGGAUCCGCGCCGCAUUAGCUAGUUGGUAAGGUAACGGCUUACCAAGGCAACGAUGCGUAGCCGACCUGAGAGGGUGAUCGGCCACACUGGAACUGAGACACGGUCCAGACUCCUACGGGAGGCAGCAGUAGGGAAUCUUCCGCAAUGGGCGAAAGCCUGACGGAGCAACGCCGCGUGAGUGAUGAAGGUCUUCGGAUCGUAAAACUCUGUUAUUAGGGAAGAACAAAUGUGUAAGUAACUAUGCACGUCUUGACGGUACCUAAUCAGAAAGCCACGGCUAACUACGUG